Long non-coding RNA from Rosa chinensis, 952 nucleotides. RefSeq lists it as uncharacterized. NCBI's taxonomy places the organism in Eukaryota, Viridiplantae, Streptophyta, Magnoliopsida, Rosales, Rosaceae. The record is from RefSeq and is a predicted model, not a curated record. The transcript has 5 exons.
AAAAAUUAAGUAAAAAAGCAAAUAUCGCUCAUAGAAGAAAAUAUAGAAGAUGUUUUCAUUCCCCAAAAAAUAAAAAUAUUUAGGGAUCUAAAAUCACUCGAGUCCCCAACCCCCCUCUCUCUCAUUCCAAAUCGUUCUUCUCUCCUCCAUUCUCAUCACCACAGCAAUCUCCACCAUCGCGUUGUUGUGGCCGCCGCGGUCAUUUGCCACGUCAUCACCAUACUCGAUUUGGCUCUCACUGGACCAGCUUCUCAACUAUGCGCUAAUCUACAUCACCAAUCCAUAGCCGUUUUGGAGUAUGGAAGAUGAUAUAGAAUAGUUCUCUUCUCCCGAAGAUACUAUCAAGCUGUUGUUCAGGUCGCUAUGCAAUCUGCAAUGCAAGAAGUUAUGAGUCUUUUAGUAGACAGAUCCAAUUUUGGGGAUACUUUUAGUCCCAAUCUCAUUUAGUUGCGGUUGACUGAUUAUUCAGAUUCAGAUGUGCGUCGGUCAACACAAUAUCAAACAUCCUAUAGUAGUCCUAAAGUCCCAUUGCAUGGAAGUGGAGUUUUAACUUCUCAAUCAUCCUACCAUAGCAUUGGAAGAAAAAAGAAUCAUAUUUCAGAUGUUCCAACUUCUGUGGUCUGUGCUUGGUCGUCAUUGGUAUACAGUCCCUGGUGGAAGGAAGGUUUAUGUUGGUAAAACUGGGCAGGAAUUGACAGGUCAAACAGCCCACAGACUAUGCUCAAAGGAAAGUUGAAACAGCCUGUGAAGGCCAGAAGAAGGAAAGCCAAAAAAUAAAAAUAGAUGAAUUUCAUGCCAUGACGGGCAUUAGUUGUAAUUGGAACUGGUAUGGGUAUAGGAAAUACAGAUUGGAGCCUAUUAUUAUUAUUUUUUAAAUAAAUGAACAUUGACACCAUUUUAAUUGUAACUGCAUGAUGAAAAAAAAUUAAUAUAAUAUAAUGUUAGACACCAA